RNAcentral lists this ribosomal RNA (573 nucleotides) under Salmonella enterica. Its description in RNAcentral is "partial 23S ribosomal RNA". It matches the Rfam family "Bacterial large subunit ribosomal RNA", at positions 2202 to 2774 of the family's 2925-position model. Lineage: Bacteria; Pseudomonadati; Pseudomonadota; Gammaproteobacteria; Enterobacterales; Enterobacteriaceae. The record is from RNAcentral.
ACCCUUUAAUGUUUGAUGUUCUAACGUGGACCCGUGAUCCGGGUUGCGGACAGUGUCUGGUGGGUAGUUUGACUGGGGCGGUCUCCUCCUAAAGAGUAACGGAGGAGCACGAAGGUUGGCUAAUCCUGGUCGGACAUCAGGAGGUUAGUGCAAUGGCAUAAGCCAGCUUGACUGCGAGCGUGACGGCGCGAGCAGGUGCGAAAGCAGGUCAUAGUGAUCCGGUGGUUCUGAAUGGAAGGGCCAUCGCUCAACGGAUAAAAGGUACUCCGGGGAUAACAGGCUGAUACCGCCCAAGAGUUCAUAUCGACGGCGGUGUUUGGCACCUCGAUGUCGGCUCAUCACAUCCUGGGGCUGAAGUAGGUCCCAAGGGUAUGGCUGUUCGCCAUUUAAAGUGGUACGCGAGCUGGGUUUAGAACGUCGUGAGACAGUUCGGUCCCUAUCUGCCGUGGGCGCUGGAGAACUGAGGGGGGCUGCUCCUAGUACGAGAGGACCGGAGUGGACGCAUCACUGGUGUUCGGGUUGUCAUGCCAAUGGCACUGCCCGGUAGCUAAAUGCGGAAGAGAUAAGUGCUGA